AGUCCAUAAAAGCACGGUUAGGAGCAAACAGCUUUUCAAUUUCCCUGUGUCCUUUCCUAUGGCUGUGGUUGGAGAGACGUAGAGAGAGGCUGCUGCGAAGUCACAAUCCAGCCACACGGCAUUGAUCCUGUCAUGGCUGGUGUGGUUGUGUCCACACGUGACCUGAACAUCCUUCCCACUCAGUACCAAAUACAGUCAAUUCUGUGGCUUGAUGGUGCGUGGACAUAACAUUCAGAUAUCGCCCAUGAUGAGGAAACAGAAGCUGGGAUAUGUGAGUAAACAUUUCCAAGGUCCUGCAGCUAAUCAAUGGUUGACAACUUCUUUCCUCUGCCUAUGUUGCCAUCCAUGUCAUGGUUUGUGUCAAGACUCUAGGAGAAGUCUACCAUCAGCACCACAGCUACUGUGCACAAAUCCAGAAUGCCAGACUGAAGUCAGAAGGAAAGAUCCUUUAUAUAUUGAAAGAAGAAAGUAGAACCAUUUCUGGGUCCCAGCUGUGGGAAGAGCUCCUGUGGCUGUGAAUUCUGACUUCUGGGUCUUGGCACAAGGUGUGGCCAGCAAGCUAAGCUGUCCUGAGGGUGUGCAGGGCCAGGGGCUGAAGACAGUGUUGGAGCAUCCACAGACUGGUUUGUCUCAAGAAGCAUGUUACUAAAUAUGAAAUAGCAAAAUCUGCAAGUGGGUUUACUUUUCCCCCAUAGAUUAGAAUGGAUUCAAUAUUAUCUCUUUAUUAGCGUCACUUUUAAUCACUUGUAUAACAAGUAGGACAGAAAGGUGGCUUGAAAGUCAAUCAUGUGAGAAUUCCAGAUAAAUUGACUUUGCUCACAACAAUCUGUUAUUCAUGUGACUAUCAACUGUCAUGUGUGCUGGGGCAAAAAAAGAAGAUAAGGAUUCACUGGUAUCAGAUAGUUCCAGGAGGGGAAACCCAGGAUUGAACUUUUUCAGCCUUCUAUGGUAAAAUUUCCUGCUCUGUCGGUGCGCCAAAGCUUUUUUCAGUUUCCUAAACUCCCAUAUUCAAGAAGAUAAGCUAUUUUCUCUUCUUUCUCAUCCUUCCUUGACAAAGCAAAGCAUAUUUUCAUUGUCUACUCUGUGUCAUCCAUGCUUGGUUCCUGUCCUCAAAGAGCUUAUAGUUCAAAUAAAGGAGAGGGAGCAUUUUACAAGGGAAUUAAAGGUAAAAGAUUCUGAAAGCCAGUUUAAAAAGUCGUGAGGGAGGGGUCUGGGAGAAGCUGAGCAGGGGUGAAAGGGUACGAAACAUUAUGGAAGGAGAACAGGGGAGCACCCUGACUACUGGGUGGAAACACCAAUCAGUGGGUAGAAACCACACAGUGGUAACACUGAUCAGUGGGUAGAAAACAAUGACAGCAGGUAUAUGAGGCAUGGAACACUUGGCUUAUUGUAAAGUUUUCAAAAUAUGCAGUCCUUUCUAUCCACCAGGGGUUGGGAGUUGUCUUUGUAUAUCAACCGUGGAAGGGCUGUUUUGGUUCAUCAUUCUGUGGUCUACCUGGGUAGACCUGAUGCAGCCGUGUUUCUGAGGAAAGGAAGAACAGCUUUUGUUUUGUGAUAUGUAAUGGUAGAUGUAGUGCCAUGGAAUGAUGCAGAUUUCAUUCAGAUAUUCUUGGAUCUUGGCCCCAGGACUCACUCAUUCUUCCCUAUAUGAGCAUUGGUAGUUACAGGUUUUAUCCUUCCUUUAAUUGUAAGUCUUUUGAAGCCAAAAACUGUAUCCAAUUUGUCACUGUCUCCUAACAGUACUUAGCAGUGUCUGAUGCAUCAUAGGGAGUUUGUAAAUGUUUGGAUAAAUAAAGGGAAAACAAAAACAACCACAAAAAAACCUUUAUUUUGCUUUAAUAAAAAUAUUUUAACU
Homo sapiens (human) is the source of this 1855-nucleotide long non-coding RNA. Ensembl annotates it as long intergenic non-protein coding RNA 3007. The record is from Ensembl. Lineage: Eukaryota; Metazoa; Chordata; Mammalia; Primates; Hominidae.